RNAcentral lists this ribosomal RNA (397 nucleotides) under uncultured bacterium. Its description in RNAcentral is "bacterial SSU rRNA". It matches the Rfam family "Bacterial small subunit ribosomal RNA", at positions 358 to 772 of the family's 1533-position model. The record is from RNAcentral.
GGAAUCUUGCGCAAUGGGCGAAAGCCUGACGCAGCAACGCCGCGUGGGGGAUGAAGGCUCUCGGGUUGUAAACCCCUUUCAGGAGGGACGAAAAUGACGGUCCCUCCAGAAGAAGCGCCGGCUAACUACGUGCCAGCAGCCGCGGUAAUACGUAGGGCGCAAGCGUUAUCCGGAAUUCUUGGGCGUAAAGAGCUCGUAGGCGGUUUGUCGCGUCUGCCGUGAAAGUCCGGGGCUCAACUCCGGAUCUGCGGUGGGUACGGGCAGACUAGAGUGAUGUAGGGGAGACUGGAAUUCCUGGUGUAGCGGUGAAAUGCGCAGAUAUCAGGAGGAACACCGAUGGCGAAGGCAGGUCUCUGGGCAUUAACUGACGCUGAGGAGCGAAAGCAUGGGGAGCGAA